This 486-nucleotide ribosomal RNA is filed under the name uncultured bacterium. Its description in RNAcentral is "partial 16S ribosomal RNA". It matches the Rfam family "Bacterial small subunit ribosomal RNA", at positions 30 to 507 of the family's 1533-position model. The record is from RNAcentral.
AUUGAACGCUGGCGGCAUGCCUUACACAUGCAAGUCGAACGGCAGCACGGGUGCUUGCACCUGGUGGCGAGUGGCGAACGGGUGAGUAAUAUAUCGGAACAUGUCCUGUAGUGGGGGAUAGCCCGGCGAAAGCCGGAUUAAUACCGCAUACGAUCUACGGAUGAAAGCGGGGGACCUUCGGGCCUCGCGCUAUAGGGUUGGCCGAUGGCUGAUUAGCUAGUUGGUGGGGUAAAGGCCUACCAAGGCGACGAUCAGUAGCUGGUCUGAGAGGACGACCAGCCACACUGGGACUGAGACACGGCCCAGACUCCUACGGGAGGCAGCAGUGGGGAAUUUUGGACAAUGGGCGAAAGCCUGAUCCAGCAAUGCCGCGUGUGUGAAGAAGGCCUUCGGGUUGUAAAGCACUUUUGUCCGGAAAGAAAUCCUUGGCCCUAAUACGGUCGGGGGAUGACGGUACCGGAAGAAUAAGCACCGGCUAACUACGUG